UGAGCAAUCUGCCCUUCUCUUUGGAAUAAGCGUUGGAAACGACGUCUAAUGCCGAAUACGACCUCCUUUCGCAUGAUCGGAGGUGGAAAGCUCCGGCGGAGAAGGAUGAGCUCGCGGCCUAUCAGCUAGUUGGUGUGGGUAAUGGCCCACCAAGGCGACGACGGGUAGCCGGCCUGAGGAGGGUGACCCGGCCACACGUGGGACUGAGACACGGCCCAGACUUCGACGGGAGG
This 233-nucleotide ribosomal RNA is filed under the name uncultured bacterium. RNAcentral describes it as "partial 16S ribosomal RNA". It matches the Rfam family "Bacterial small subunit ribosomal RNA", at positions 118 to 348 of the family's 1533-position model. The record is from RNAcentral.